AAGGAUCAUUAAAGAGUAAGGGUGCUCAGCGCCCGACCUCCAACCCUUUGUUGUUAAAACUACCUUGUUGCUUUGGCGGGACCGCUCGGUCUCGAGCCGCUGGGGAUUCGUCCCAGGCGAGCGCCCGCCAGAGUUAAACCAAACUCUUGUUAUUUAACCGGUCGUCUGAGUUAAAAUUUUGAAUAAAUCAAAACUUUCAACAACGGAUCUCUUGGUUCUCGCAUCGAUGAAGAACGCAGCGAAAUGCGAUAAGUAAUGUGAAUUGCAGAAUUCAGUGAAUCAUCGAAUCUUUGAACGCACAUUGCGCCCCUUGGUAUUCCGAGGGGCAUGCCUGUUCGAGCGUCAUUACACCACUCAAGCUAUGCUUGGUAUUGGGCGUCGUCCUUAGUUGGGCGCGCCUUAAAGACCUCGGCGAGGCCACUCCGGCUUUAGGCGUAGUAGAAUUUAUUCGAACGUCUGUCAAAGGAGAGGAACUCUGCCGACUGAAACC
This 490-nucleotide unclassified non-coding RNA is filed under the name Metschnikowia sp. JSKim-2014. RNAcentral's name for it is "partial contains 18S rRNA, ITS1, 5.8S rRNA, and ITS2". The stretch from base 192 to 345 matches the Rfam family "5.8S ribosomal RNA". The record is from RNAcentral. Lineage: Eukaryota; Fungi; Ascomycota; Pichiomycetes; Serinales; Metschnikowiaceae.